CACUAUCGUUAACUGAAUACAUAGGUUAACGAGGCGAACCGGGGGAACUGAAACAUCUAAGUACCCCGAGGAAAAGAAAUCAACCGAGAUUCCCCCAGUAGCGGCGAGCGAACGGGGAGCAGCCCAGAGUCUGAAUCAGCUUGUGUGUUAGUGGAACGGUCUGGAAAGUCCGACGGUACAGGGUGAUAGUCCCGUACACCAAAAUGCACAGGCUGUGAACUCGAAGAGUAGGGCGGGACACGUGGUAUCCUGUCUGAAUAUGGGGGGACCAUCCUCCAAGGCUAAAUACUCCUGACUGACCGAUAGUGAACCAGUACCGUGAGGGAAAGGCGAAAAGAACCCCGGCGAGGGGAGUGAAAAAGAACCUGAAACCGUGUACGUACAAGCAGUGGGAGCACCUUCGGGUGUGACUGCGUACCUUUUGUAUAAUGGGUCAGCGACUUAUAUUCUGUAGCAAGGUUAACCGUAUAGGGGAGCCGCAGGGAAACCGAGUCUUAACUGGGCGUUAAGUUGCAGGGUAUAGACCCGAAACCCGGUGAUCUAGCCAUGGGCAGGUUGAAGGUUGGGUAACACUAACUGGAGGACCGAACCGACUAAUGUUGAAAAAUUAGCGGAUGACUUGUGGCUGGGGGUGAAAGGCCAAUCAAACCGGGAGAUAGCUGGUUCUCCCCGAAAGCUAUUUAGGUAGCGCCUCGUGAACUCAUCUUCGGGGGUAGAGCACUGUUUCGGCUAGGGGGUCAUCCCGACUUACCAACCCGAUGCAAACUACGAAUACCGAAGAAUGUUAUCACGGGAGACACACGGCGGGUGCUAACGUCCGUCGUGAAGAGGGAAACAACCCAGACCGCCAGCUAAGGUCCCAAAGUCAUGGUUAAGUGGGAAACGAUGUGGGAAGGCACAGACAGCCAGGAUGUUGGCUUAGAAGCAGCCAUCAUUUAAAGAAAGCGUAAUAGCUCACUGGUCGAGUCGGCCUGCGCGGAAGAUGUAACGGGGCUAAACCAUGCACCGAAGCUGCGGCAGCGACACUAUGUGUUGUUGGGUAGGGGAGCGUUCUGUAAGCCUGCGAAGGUGUGCUGUGAGGCAUGCUGGAGGUAUCAGAAGUGCGAAUGCUGACAUAAGUAACGAUAAAGCGGGUGAAAAGCCCGCUCGCCGGAAGACCAAGGGUUCCUGUCCAACGUUAAUCGGGGCAGGGUGAGUCGACCCCUAAGGCGAGGCCGAAAGGCGUAGUCGAUGGGAAACAGGUUAAUAUUCCUGUACUUGGUGUUACUGCGAAGGGGGGACGGAGAAGGCUAUGUUAGCCGGGCGACGGUUGUCCCGGUUUAAGCAUGUAGGCUGGUUAUCCAGGCAAAUCCGGAUAAUCAAGGCUGAGGUGUGAUGACGAGGCACUACGGUGCUGAAGUAACAAAUGCCCUGCUUCCAGGAAAAGCCUCUAAGCAUCAGGUAACAUCAAAUCGUACCCCAAACCGACACAGGUGGUCAGGUAGAGAAUACCAAGGCGCUUGAGAGAACUCGGGUGAAGGAACUAGGCAAAAUGGUGCCGUAACUUCGGGAGAAGGCACGCUGGUGUGUAGGUGAAGUCCCUGCGGAUGGAGCUGAGACCAGUCGAAGAUACCAGCUGGCUGCAACUGUUUAUUAAAAACACAGCACUGUGCAAACACGAAAGUGGACGUAUACGGUGUGACGCCUGCCCGGUGCCGGAAGGUUAAUUGAUGGGGUUAUCCGUAAGGAGAAGCUCUUGAUCGAAGCCCCGGUAAACGGCGGCCGUAACUAUAACGGUCCUAAGGUAGCGAAAUUCCUUGUCGGGUAAGUUCCGACCUGCACGAAUGGCGUAAUGAUGGCCAGGCUGUCUCCACCCGAGACUCAGUGAAAUUGAACUCGCUGUGAAGAUGCAGUGUACCCGCGGCAAGACGGAAAGACCCCGUGAACCUUUACUAUAGCUUGACACUGAACAUUGAGCCUUGAUGUGUAGGAUAGGUGGGAGGCUUUGAAGCGUGGACGCCAGUCUGCGUGGAGCCAACCUUGAAAUACCACCCUUUAAUGUUUGAUGUUCUAACGUUGGCCCCUUACCGGGGUUGCGGACAGUGUCUGGUGGGUAGUUUGACUGGGGCGGUCUCCUCCCAAAGCGUAACGGAGGAGCACGAAGGUUAGCUAAUCCUGGUCGGACAUCAGGAGGUUAGUGCAAUGGCAUAAGCUAGCUUGACUGCGAGCGUGACGGCGCGAGCAGGUGCGAAAGCAGGUCAUAGUGAUCCGGUGGUUCUGAAUGGAAGGGCCAUCGCUCAACGGAUAAAAGGUACUCCGGGGAUAACAGGCUGAUACCGCCCAAGAGUUCAUAUCGACGGCGGUGUUUGGCACCUCGAUGUCGGCUCAUCACAUCCUGGGGCUGAAGUAGGUCCCAAGGGUAUGGCUGUUCGCCAUUUAAAGUGGUACGCGAGCUGGGUUUAGAACGUCGUGAGACAGUUCGGUCCCUAUCUGCCGUGGGCGCUGGAGAAUUGAGGGGGGCUGCUCCUAGUACGAGAGGACCGGAGUGGACGCAUCACUGGUGUUCGGGUUGUCAUGCCAAUGGCACUGCCCGGUAGCUAAAUGCGGAAGAGAUAAGUGCUGAAAGCAUCUAAGCACGAAACUUGCCCCGAGAUGAGUUCUCCCUGAGACUUUAAGUCUCCUGAAGGAACGUUAAAGACGAUGACGUUGAUAGGCCGGGUGUGUAAGCGCAGCGAUGCGUUGAGCUAACCGGUACUAAUGAACCGUGAGGCUUAACCUU
RNAcentral lists this ribosomal RNA (2758 nucleotides) under Klebsiella pneumoniae. RNAcentral describes it as "partial 23S ribosomal RNA". It matches the Rfam family "Bacterial large subunit ribosomal RNA". The record is from RNAcentral. Lineage: Bacteria; Pseudomonadati; Pseudomonadota; Gammaproteobacteria; Enterobacterales; Enterobacteriaceae.